RNAcentral lists this unclassified non-coding RNA (432 nucleotides) under soil metagenome. Its description in RNAcentral is "partial contains 5.8S ribosomal RNA, internal transcribed spacer 2, and large subunit ribosomal RNA". The stretch from base 1 to 120 matches the Rfam family "5.8S ribosomal RNA", at positions 35 to 154 of the family's 154-position model. The record is from RNAcentral.
GAUGAAGAACGUAGUGAAAUGCGAUACGUAAUGUGAAUUGCAGAAUUCAGUGAAUCAUCGAAUCUUUGAACGCAUAUUGCGCUCUCUGGUAUUCCGGAGAGCAUGCUUGUUUGAGUAUCAGUAAACACCUCAACUUCCAUAUCUUUUUUGAAAUGGGAGUUGGACUUGAGUGAUCCCAACGCUUUUCCUCACCGAAAAGUGGCGGGUUACUUGAAAUGCAGGUGCAGCUGGACUUUUCUCUGAGCUAUAAGCAUAUCUAUUUAGUCUGCCUAAAAAACAGAUUAUUACCUUUGCUGCAGCUAACAUAAAGGAGAUUAGUUCUUGUGCUGACUGAUGCAGGAUUCACAAAAACGGCUUCGGCCGACUUUGUAAACUCGAUCUCAAAUCAAGUAAGACUACCCGCUGAACUUAAGCAUAUCAAUAAGCGGAGGA